UUUUCCCAGAUGUCAGUAGUACACUGUUUCAGCUCCUAGGGGAGGUGGUCCUAUUUUAAUUUUUGACCACUUUAUUUUUAGCAACGGGGAGUCUCCUUUUUAAUUUAGUUAAAUUUUUUAAUGCUAAAAGAAACCUUCUGUGCUACAAACUCCCCACAUGAGCCCAGCUGAUGUGAGUAUUCAGCUCAGGGCAGCUGAGAACGGAGCACAGCCACAAACAGAAGCAGCAUCAACAAAUCAUACAGGAGCUGAAAGUUCAGAGAGGGAACAGAGAACUGACCUACGUGGAGCAGGAAGAGCUUCUGACCGUUUCGAGUUUCAAUGUUUAUGGUAGUUUUUAAGGAGUUCUGUAGAACUGUUAAGUGAGUGGUGAGCAAUGUAGACUUAGCACAAAAUUGGAGUUGCGUUACCAAAUUCCCAGCUCUGUCUGGUCACCAGCUGUGAGCACAAAGACUGCAUUGCGUGUGAGCCAGAUUCCCUCCUAUGUGGCAAUCCACCCAAAUGAAGGGUAAACACAAAUGGCUUUUCUCAAGUUCUUCUGCUUUCAGGAAUUAAACUCAUCAACUUCAUCUUUAUAUUAUCAAAGUACUCUUGGGUUUUGAGAGCUUUCAACUCUACAUGGUUAUCACAGAUAGCCCUGCAAUGCGUGCCAGUCAACCAAGCGUGCAAUGAAAUUUACGUCAAAUUGUCUUUUGAACAAAAAUGUUUUUCUUUAAAAAAAAAUAAAGAUCAGUUUUCAUUAUAAUACUCAGAGCUUUGUACAUCAAAAGCUAGAAAUAUAGUAACCCCAUGUUUUUGGAUUUUGUUAUAGUAUUCAAAAGAAAUAGAGUUCCUUGCAAGUGAUAUGUACAUAAAAAGUACUCUCUUCCACUGGAGCAUAAUUGUAACAGCACUAAAAUAUUACACAACCUGAACACCAUGUCUUCCUUUCAGUGAAAUCUUGGGACGUGUUACAACUGUGAUGUCAAUCAUGUAUGUUGUAACACAUCCUGACUUACUGCCUUCUCUGAUCAUCCUGUGGUGAUAGAGAUGUGUGCUGUGCUUCUCUCUUCCUCUUCCUUAGGAUUUUUUUUUUCAAUGGGGAAAACAUAUCAGGCCUUUAUAAGGCCUAUUAAACAUACGUGUUUCUUCUGAUAUGUGAGUGCUGAAAGUGAAGUCUCACAUGGGGAAAUUGCUGCUUUGGUUUAACUCAUGAUGCUUAGCUAAAAUUAAAAGUAAAUGGAAGGAUAACUGAGUAAUCAUCAUCUCAUAAUGCUGCAGCAUCUGUAUGGAUUGAAUAAAAAGUUUGGCAAUCUCUGGAAGUACAUAAAAGAUUGAUACUGAGUUUACUCAGUGAACUGUUAUUAUUAAUUAGUAAUUAGUAGUGAUAAUAGUGAUAACCUGCACAGUACAGAAAAUGGAGUCAAUCCAUUCUCAGCAGCAUAAGUUUGAUUGAAUUGUUAUUUGUGAAGGGUCUGAUUUUGCUGGUGCAUUUCCAUGUUUUAAUCUCAAUGUUUUCUUUAACAGUUUUCUGCCCCAAGCAGUUACUCUCAUAGUAGUUGGUUAUAAACUCUUGAUAUAUCCUAUCUGAAGAGAAACAAAGCACUUGAUGAGCAAGAAGAGGAGUGUAAAUUAAUGAGAGUGGGAAAGCUGUUUUACAGGCCAAUAACCUGAUACCAAAUGCAUGUAGACCAGAAAUAGGCAUUUCUACAGAGAUCUGUGCUCUAUAAUAAAAGCAGUACAGUGCUAC
Molecule: long non-coding RNA, 1729 nt
Filed under: Gallus gallus (chicken)
Lineage: Eukaryota; Metazoa; Chordata; Aves; Galliformes; Phasianidae
Description: lncRNA (ENSGALG00010003021.1)
Source: RNAcentral